Long non-coding RNA from Drosophila willistoni, 1326 nucleotides. RefSeq lists it as uncharacterized. The record is from RefSeq and is a predicted model, not a curated record. The transcript is spliced from 3 exons. NCBI's taxonomy places the organism in Eukaryota, Metazoa, Arthropoda, Insecta, Diptera, Drosophilidae.
AAUUUAAGUUUAUGGUGUUUCGUGGUUGUUUUGUUUUAAAAGUAUCUAUAUAUCCCGUUUAUAUUAGUGUUUCCUAAAAACGCGAACUAAAUUCAAACUUCGAAACCGCGUCUACGACAUUCAUACAACAUUCAAACAUCGUUUCGAAAACAAGUUACAAAUUAAAAUUUUAUGACCACAUUAAAUUUUUCGCAGAUAUUUACUUUUAGGUGUACGAAAUUCGCCAAAUUCGUCUUGUUCUCUUAGGUUCACAAUCAAAUGUCAAAAACGUGCAGCAGCAGUUUUGAAUUACGACGGCUUUGAUUUUAUAUCGAUUUGGAGGAUUUUGCAAUUUGAUUGAACCGAUUACUCAUUGAGGUAUUUAAGAAUAUAGGCAUAUCAUUUCUAUGAAUAUAUUUGUGGAAUUAAGUCCAGCAUCAUAUAUUUAAGAAGCCCUUUUCCGUGGUGAACAAAUACUGACUGCAUACAAUGGAAACUUGCAGUCUCUGCAGUCAACGGAUGUCCGACUUCCCAUACGAAAUCCAGUCCAACUAUUGAAUCUAGGUAGGCCAACCAGUUGGGCAGACAAAUUACAGUUUGAAAGGUCGCCAGCGGCAAACUUGAAAAGGCCGACGAUGAGAUGCAUUUUUCUUGUUCGUUUUCAUGAAACGAUCGUUUUGCAAAAAAUUUUUUGCUUUAAAGGAUGGAAUAAAUUUUCAUUCGUAAAAAAAAAUUGUGUUCACUCCAAUCAGCUAAGCUGCAAGGCUCACAUCAUAUAGAAGCUAAUAAUGCAGUGUCUACGGAAUGUAAGAAUGAACGAUUUAAUCUACCUUCAGCGGAUUAUUACGGAAAAUUACCAAAAACUCUUGCCAGUGCAUAUGCUGAAGAUACAAACAAAGUAGUAAAAUUUUGAAUUUUUCCGUGGCAGCGGCAAGGGGAUUCGAACCCGUUAUCAUCGAAUAUAUAUAGCGGAGUAAGCAGCUCAACGCGCUCGACCAUCGUAUGAAAACAACUUGUUGCUCAGUCGGCAACAGUUCUAAAUUAACAGAGCUUUCUUUGAAUCUGAAAUGGCUCGCAAAUGAUGCUGUUAACAUAACAUUAGAUACAACUAUUUCCGUUAAGCAUCGAAAUAAUUUAUUCAAACUUUCUUUAAUUUGUGAUUUAGUUACUAAUUUAUAACCUGCAAUUAUAGAUUGAACAGAAUUUCAGGUGUUUAGGUCAAACUCACAAACAUGGGAGUAAAAAAUUAGUAAAUAACAUGAAUUCGUAACAAUUUUUAAAUCAAUAGGCAGAAAAUAAUUAGUUGUUUGUCAAGACAUAAAAUUUUGUGAUUUAUUUUUAACUAUA